Molecule: long non-coding RNA, 553 nt
Organism: Daphnia magna
Lineage: Eukaryota; Metazoa; Arthropoda; Branchiopoda; Diplostraca; Daphniidae
Exons: 2
Source: RefSeq, a predicted model, not a curated record
CCAAUGGGUUUAAUGUAUAUACUGUGCAUUUUACUUCAUAGGACAGCAAAGUUGGAGUUAGCGCGUAAAACUAAGCGAUGGUUUUCGUUGAAACCGACUAAAAUUUAAAAAGUUAUACCACAUAUGAGUUUUUUGGGAAAAGCGGCGAUUUCGAAAACGUACGGCGACUAAUCCAUUGCUUAAGAUCUGCCAAAUUCUUCGGAACCUUUCAGGGCGUCUGCCAUUUAAGUAACUGCCGAGUUUCACCUUCCACAAUCGACAGUUCGCGGUUUAAAGCUCACCGUACGGUGCUACCAUGUAGUAGAAUUCCCAGCUUGGCAUUUGCUGUUGAAUUGGUGUUGCUUGGCAUUUUGUCGGCAUUCAUGUAGAUUAUCGGUCGAUUAUUAUAUGUCAGCAUGUUUUAUUUAUUACUUAUUAAUAAUUAUAAGUAAUAUAUAUUUGCUUUGUUUUACAUCACUAUUCCGGCGAAGUCAGAACCGUUAGUCAUGCCUGUGCCGGAAUAUAAAGGAAAACUUCAACUAGAUCGGAUUAAAUAAACUGUCGGCCAGCUUAA